GAAAAAGUUUGCAAGAACUGCUAAUUCCUGCCCCCGCGCAUAACAACGCGGCUUUUUCUC
RNAcentral lists this transfer RNA (60 nucleotides) under Myonycteris angolensis (Angolan soft-furred fruit bat). Its description in RNAcentral is "tRNA-Ser". Lineage: Eukaryota; Metazoa; Chordata; Mammalia; Chiroptera; Pteropodidae. The record is from RNAcentral. RNAcentral also lists the same sequence under 2 other names.